GCAUGCCAACGCCUUAAUUUAAAAAAACAAAACAAAACACUUUGCCCAGAACUUUGUUUCUCACUCCUUUCCAAAAUAGUCACCAGCUGUUGUUAACCACAUGCCAUCUGGGUGCCCAGGUAAGGAGAAAGCCCUCCAGUGUUCAAUUAACUGUGGAUUAUUUUCUUUUCUUCGGCAGGAAAAGGAAAAAGAAAAAGAUAAGAUUAAGGAGAAGGAGAAAGAUUCUAAAGACAAGGAGAAAGAUAAGAAGACUGUCAACGGGCACACUUUCAGUUCCAUUCCUGUUGUGGGUCCCAUCAGCUGUAGCCAGUGUAUGAAGCCCUUCACCAACAAAGAUGCCUAUACUUGUGCAAAUUGCAGUGCUUUUGUCCACAAAGGCUGCCGAGAAAGUCUAGCCUCCUGUGCAAAGGUCAAAAUGAAGCAGCCCAAAGGGAGCCUUCAGGCACAUGACACAUCAUCACUGCCCACGGUCAUUAUGAGAAACAAGCCCUCACAGCCCAAGGAGCGUCCUCGGUCCGCAGUCCUCCUGGUGGAUGAAACCACUACCACCCCAAUAUUUGCCAAUAGACGAUCCCAGCAGAGUGUCUCACUCUCCAAAAGUGUCUCCAUACAGAACAUUACUGGAGUUGGCAAUGAUGAGAACAUGUCAAACACCUGGAAAUUCCUGUCUCAUUCAACAGACU
RNAcentral lists this small RNA (683 nucleotides) under Pan troglodytes (chimpanzee). RNAcentral describes it as "retained intron". Lineage: Eukaryota; Metazoa; Chordata; Mammalia; Primates; Hominidae. The record is from RNAcentral.